RNAcentral lists this unclassified non-coding RNA (1290 nucleotides) under Arabidopsis thaliana (thale cress). The record is from RNAcentral. Lineage: Eukaryota; Viridiplantae; Streptophyta; Magnoliopsida; Brassicales; Brassicaceae.
CUUGCAUGUCUACAUUGAUAAUAAACUUGGAUAAUCUUACACAAGACACACAUACAUAUAGUGGCUUUACUCCACUUGCUUAGACCCUAGACCACAUCAUUGUCUUAAGACUUACAUCAGCUACUCUACUAUGUUGGAACUCCCAACUCCUUAAUUCACUCUACAUAACAUCUUUGAUUCUAUAACACAACACUAAUUAACUAAACAUACUUGGGCCUAAUUCAUCUGCAGCCCAUUUUAACAAAACACAAAGCCCAACAUCUCUUUUGUUGACUUUGUUCCUUGCUCUUCUUUUACGCUUGAAGCUUCUUCUCUAUUCUUCUCUUCUUCUCAUAAAGCUUUCCUUAUUGCAGGAUUUAAUCUAGGAUUCACAAUUCCAACACUCCCCUAAGAAUCCUUAGAUUAAAUCCCCAAUUCGAUUUUAGGGAAUUCAAUCUCAUUGCUUCUUCUUCUCUUGGUGAUUCGCCUCUUCUCUUGUGCGAAUCCCUUUCACGAUCUUUGGCACAGCUCACUGGUGAAUUGGUGUUAAGUCUCGGUCUCUUGUCUUCCUCUUGGUGAUUUUCUUCUUAUCACACAAAGGUAACACUUUUGACUCUUCAUCACUUCGAUUCAACUACUCCUUCUUCUCUUUUCUUCAAUUGACCUCUCUUGUCAAUUGUUUCUGGUUUUCAGACAUUGGAGCUCUUGGGAUUUCUCUUUCCCUCAAGCAGUCUCCAUGUCUUCUCCGCAUCUUCUCGGUGAGCCUCCCUCACGUCUCUUCCGGUUGUCGCUGCAACCUUCUUCAGCUUCCUCUCUCUCAGGUAAGCUUCUCUUCUCCUCUUCUUGGUGUCCACCUUUGAACACCUCCUUCUUUACUUUGAUUCUUAGAACCAUCACUUUAGCUUUAGCUUCAGAAUGUUUGACUCGAACCAUCACUCGACUUUCUCUAACCGUAGUCUAUUUGGCUUCUCCUUGAGUCAUCACCUUAGCCUUAGCCGGUUGGCUCUGUAGAGAACACGAAACUGAACGGUUGCUUGUAACAGAAACAAACACAGAAAUUGAUAGCCAAGUUCACGGCUUAACCGCUAUGUCUGAGGAGAGAUCUCUUGCUCCCAAAGCUUCACUAUAUCAAAGAGAUUACAAACACCACUUGACUUGUGAUGUUGUCUUUGGUUUCAGGUACAAUCUCAAGAAGAACAAAGAUCAAACACAAAGAACAAAGAAGGAGAAAGCUUCUUGAAGAAUAAACUCUCGUUUCUUCUCUUUCUCUCUAGAACUCUCUUUGUGUCUUGUCUCACACCUACAUCCACA